This is a small RNA of Nocardia seriolae N-2927, 68 nucleotides long. It matches the Rfam family "ASdes TB sRNA". Lineage: Bacteria; Bacillati; Actinomycetota; Actinomycetes; Mycobacteriales; Nocardiaceae. The record is from Rfam.
AGGGCCACCGGAUCCACGCCGCGGGUCACCACCAGGUAAUCGCGAAUCACGAUGCCGUGCCGGUUCUC